AAGUCGAGCGGCAAGGUGGAGCAAUCCAUCCUAGAGCGGCGGACUGGUGAGUAACGCGUGGGUGACCUGCCCUAAGGCCGGGGAUAGCCGUUAGAAAUAGCGGGUAAUACCGGAUACGGUCUGUUUGCCAUGGCGGACAGAAGAAAGGAGCAUUUGCUCCGCCUUGGGAUGGGCCCGCGUUCCAUUAGCUGGUUGGUGAGGUAAAGGCCCACCAAGGCGAUGAUGGGUAGCCGGCCUGAGAGGGUGAACGGCCACAUUGGGACUGAGAUACGGCCCAAACUCCUACGGGAGGCAGCAGCUAAGAAUAUUCCGCAAUGGGCGAAAGCCUGACGGAGCGACGCCGCGUGGACGAGGAAGGCCGAAAGGUUGUAAAGUUCUUUUGCUGCUGAAGAAUAAGGCGGGGAGGGAAUGCCCUGCUGAUGACUUUAGGCAGCGAAUAAGCCCCGGCUAAUUACGUGCCAGCAGCCGCGGUAACACGUAAGGGGCGAGCGUUGUUCGGAAUUAUUGGGCGUAAAGGGCGCGUAGGCGGUCAGGCAAGUCUGGUGUGAAAUGGCGGAGCUCAACUCCGUCACUGCAUUGGAAACUGCGUGACUUGAGUCAUGGAGGGGGAGUUGGAAUUCCUGGUGUAGGGGUGAAAUCUGUAGAUAUCAGGAAGAACACCGGUGGCGAAGGCGAAC
This 677-nucleotide ribosomal RNA is filed under the name uncultured spirochete. RNAcentral's name for it is "bacterial SSU rRNA". It matches the Rfam family "Bacterial small subunit ribosomal RNA", at positions 59 to 726 of the family's 1533-position model. The record is from RNAcentral. Lineage: Bacteria; Pseudomonadati; Spirochaetota; Spirochaetia; Spirochaetales.